Molecule: transfer RNA, 73 nt
Filed under: Felis catus (domestic cat)
Lineage: Eukaryota; Metazoa; Chordata; Mammalia; Carnivora; Felidae
Also listed under: 3 other names
Rfam family: tRNA
About the family: Transfer RNA (tRNA) molecules are approximately 80 nucleotides in length. Their secondary structure includes four short double-helical elements and three loops (D, anti-codon, and T loops). Further hydrogen bonds mediate the characteristic L-shaped molecular structure. tRNAs have two regions of fundamental functional importance: the anti-codon, which is responsible for specific mRNA codon recognition, and the 3' end, to which the tRNAs corresponding amino acid is attached (by aminoacyl-tRNA synthetases). tRNAs cope with the degeneracy of the genetic code in two manners: having more than one tRNA (with a specific anti-codon) for a particular amino acid; and 'wobble' base-pairing, i.e. permitting non-standard base-pairing at the 3rd anti-codon position.
Source: Rfam by way of RNAcentral
GCCUGGUUGGCUCAGUUGGAGGGGCAUGUGACUCUUGAUCUUAGGGUCGUGAGUUUGAACCCCACAUUGGGUA